UACGGAGGGUGCGAGCGUUGUCCGGAAUCACUAGGCGUAAAGCGCAGGUAGGCGGCUCGGUAAGUCUUUUGUGAAAGCUCCUGGCUCAACUGGGAGAGGUCAAAGGAAACUACCGGGCUAGAGUUUGGUAGGGGAUACUGGAAUUCCCGGUGUAGCGGUGAAAUGCGUAGAUAUCGGGAGGAAUACCUAUGGCGAAAGCAGGUAUCUGGGCCACAACUGACGCUGAGCUGCGAAAGCUAGGGGAGCAAACAGG
Molecule: ribosomal RNA, 253 nt
Filed under: uncultured bacterium
Lineage: Bacteria
Description: partial 16S ribosomal RNA
Rfam family: Bacterial small subunit ribosomal RNA
Source: RNAcentral